UUUCAGAUGGAGUUUCGCUCUUGUUGCCCAGGCUGGAGUGCCAUGGCGAGAUCUAGGCUCACUGCAACCUCUGCCGAGUUCAACCAAUUCUCCUGCCUCAGCCUCCCAAGUAGCUGAGAUUACAGGCAUGCACCACCACGCCUGGCUAAUUUUUUUCAUAUUUUUAAUAGAGACAGGGUUUCACCAUGUUGGUCAGGCUGGUCUUGAACUCCUGACCUCAAGUGAUCCACCUACCUUGGCCUCCAAAGUACUGGGAUUACAGGCGUGAACCACCACACCCAGCCUAUACCAUAUUUAGAAUGUCUUUUCUACCUUAACAUUCUCUUUUAUGUUUUUUCUCUUAUUGGCUUUUUUUUUUUGUAUUUAGGACUUUAAUUGAGGUGAAACAUAUUUUCUGAUGAAUGCUGUACUGGUAGGGAUUUAACUUGCCAAUGCCAAACUUCCAAUGCCAAAACCAUAGUAGCGGGUCAAUUUAACAAUCGUUAUUUAUUCUUGAAUGAACAAAUAAAUGAGUUUCUAGGCUUUAUCUCUCCGCGGAUGGUGUCGCCCCUUCCUGAAUUGGCACGUCCCUGUACCUUUUAGGAAGUCUGGUAGGGUGCACAACCAUCCCUCUUCAUUCUUUUCCUUUAAAGGUUCCGACUAUUGUUACAUAGUUCCUCUUCCAUAUUACUCUGAGACUCAGCUUGUCUAGUUCCAUUAAAAUCUUUGCACUGCUGAAUCUUUUCAUUUUUGAAUACAAUAAAUCCCACAACAUAGUCAGAUCUUUUAAAUGAGUUUGUCAGUAAGGUUUUAUAGUUUUCUCUGUAAUCUUGAACAUUUCUUGUUAAGUUUCUUUCUCGGUUUAUUAUAGUUUUUUAAUUAUAUAUGAGAUUUUUCUAUGCAUUUCUAAUUGGUUCUUUCGGAUGCAUAGGAAAGUUAAUGGUUUUAAAGAUAUUGAUCUUGGCUGGGUGCUGUGGCUCACACCUGUAAUCCCAGUGCUUUGGGAGGUCGAGGCGGGUGGAUUGUCUGAGGUCAGGAGUUCGAGACCAGCCUGACCAACAUGGUGAAACCCUGUCUCUACUAAAAAUACAAAAUUAGCCAGGCAUGGUGGCAGGUGCCUGUAAUCCCAGCUACUUGGGAGGCAGGAGAAUUGCUUGAACCCAGGAGGCAGAGGUUGCAGUGAGCCGAGAUCACGCCAUUGCACUCCAGCCUGGGCAACAGAGUGAGACUCUGUCUUAAAAAAAAAAAAAAAAAAAAACAGAAAUAUGUAUAUAUCUUGUCUAGCACGCUGUUCAUAGCCAGUGUUUAAAAUAUGACACCUUGUUUAACUGCUAUUUUCUAAAGACAGUAGCGUAGAUUUUUAAGAGAGUAGCGUAGAUUUUUAAGAGGCAGUCGCAGUGGUUCAUUUUAUAUGUUAACCUGACUGGGGCAACGAAUGCCCAGAUAGCUGGUAAGACAGUAUUCUGGAUGUGUCUGCAAGGGUAUUUCUGGAAGAGAUUAGCAUUGCAAUCUGUAGCCAAAUGAAGAUUCCCUUCCCCCGUGUGGGCAGGCAUUGUGCAAUUCACAGAGGGCCCAAGUAGAACAAAAAGGCUGAGAAAGGGGGAGUUCAUUCUCUGCUGGAGCUGGAACAUCCAUCUUCUCCUGCCCUCUGGUAUCAGACCUCCUGGCUCCCUCCCUUUCCCCUACCUCACUUCUCAGGCCUUUGGACUCAGAGACUGAAUCACAUCACCAGCUUUCCUGGUUCCCUGGCUUGUAGAUGGCAGACAGUCUGACUUCUGGGCCCCCAGAAUCACAUGAGCCAAUUCCCAUAAAAAAUUUUUCUCUCUCUCAAACUCUCUUCCUCCUAUGUAUGUAAUAUAUCCUGUUGAUUCUGUUUCUCUGGAGAACCCUGAUUAAUACACGGUCUGAACUCAGAACAUCACGCGUGUCCAUACAGUGAAGAGUGUUGCACAAAGUUGCAGAGUGAAUGGCACAAGCAGCCAGAAAUUGCUUGUCCCUGGGAAAGAGCUGGAAUGAAAUGCUCCCCCAGGCUGGCCAACUGUGCUGUGGCUACCUGGGCCUCAGGGGAGGAGGGAGCAGUGGGGAGAACCAGGGCCCUGUGAGCAGGGAGGUCCAGGUUUCCUCCAAAAGAGGAAUGUGGAGGCAGAAUGGAGAUCACGUUGGGGCUGUUGCUUCCAGCUCUUCUGGAAUCUGGAAGCACUCAAGUUGGUGGCUGUGUCUGGCUAAGGUUUCAGAUGAGCUAAGAAGCAGAAGACAGUCCACUGUUGCCAGUCCCUUUAGAGAAGGAGGGAGCCAGGCUGAGAGGGCAAAUCUACUGACCCAGGACAGCUGGAAGCUAGGGAGGGACGAGCUCCCGUGCAUUGCAAUAGAUGCAAUGGACGUGACGUGCAAUCAUCGGAGUCAGGGUUUAAGGCUGGGCUGCUCAACCUCUUCUGAGUGCUAAGAAUCCCCUGGAGUGUUUUCUAAAAACGAGGUUUCACUCGUUUGAUCCUAAAGAUUAUGAUGCUGAGAGUCUGGGGGCAAAGCUCAGAGCACUUUAUUUUUAACAAGCAUCCCAGGUAACUCGAAAUUAGCAAAUACUGAUUUAAUGUGCAUUAUCUUUGACCAUUUGCAAGUGGGUUCUUAAGUUAACAUAGUAAAUUGAAAGAUGAGACAGGUGCGACACAUUAUUCAGGGAAACCCUUCUGUUUCAAAGAAUGACUGCUUGGCCCAUCUGACUUGUGGUGGUAAAGGCAGGAAGAUGAAAUAAAGCACCCAGUGUGUGCAGUGUUUAGCAUGAAUGAAGUUAGAAGGAAUGAAAUCUAUGUACAAUUUGCCUGCAUAGCAGCUGCAUGAAAGUGAGUUGGCUUGUGAUACGGCAGCUUAGAAAUAGGGCAGCUUAGAAAACCAGAUUGGUGGGGGCGAGCAGGUGAAGGGAGGCCAGGGGUCCCCCAUGACCUAUACUUCCUUUUCCCUUUGCAACCCCUAACCCGCUGCUCCUCCAACCCUUGACCAAGGGAGAGGAUGGGCUCCCUGGGGAGGGCUGAAUGAGGGUGGAGCAUGGUGUGUGUGUGUGUGUGUGUGUGUGUGUUGGGUGGAUGUGUAUAUGUGAGGUAUGUUGUGUGUGUGGUGUGUAUUGUGUUUGUAGUGUGUUUAUGUGUGCUGUGUGCUCUAUAUUGUGUGCAUGAGCAUGUGUGCAUGUGUGUAGUAUGGUGUGUAUUGUGUAUAUGUGUGUGUUACGUAUGGUUUGUAUUGUGUAUGUAGUUUAUGUGUGGUGCGUGCUAUGUAUUGUGUGUAUCAGCAUAUGUGUAUGUGUGUAGUAUGGUGUGUAUGUAUGUGUGUGGUGUGUAUUGUAUAUGCAGGGUGUGAAUGUGUGUGGGGCAUAUUGUGUGUGUAUGUAUGUAAUGUGUGUGUGUUGUGUGUGUAUGUGUAGUGUCUGGUGUGUAUUGUGUGUGUAUGUGUGUAAUGUGUGUGUAGUGUGCUGUGUGUGUAUGUGUAAUGUGUGUGUAGUGUGCUGUGUGUGUGUAUUGUGUGAGUGUGUAGUGUGUAAGGUGUAUGUGAGUGUGCUUGUGGCAUGUAUUGUGAGUGUGUGUCUCUAAUGUGAGGUUUGAAGGGCCUCACAAUUAUGCCCACAAAGGUCACUUGGUCUUUCCUGGAGACGCCUCAUGGGAGUUUUCACUGUGGCUUCCUGCCACUUGCUGUGGUCUUUAAAAAAGUAAAGAGAGUUACAAAUCAUUCCUUGUUUGCAGCAUAAAUUGCAGAUGAUAAUUCAAAUUCCUGCAUCAGGUGGAAAGUAGCAGAUUUAAAACACUGCAAAGAAGGGGCUGAGCAGUGAGACGGAUGCUUUGGAACAAUCGAGAAAGUAAGAGCCAGCUGUAAGGUUGCCUGCAGCCAUGGAGCGAUGAAGUGUCAAGGUCAAAGAUCCCCCCAGGUCACGCAGUCCUGCCACCCUCCCUCCCUCUAUGGCCCUGCGCACUCCCAGUGGCAUAGCUAGGGUAGAUGAAGGGGACACCUCUGACCAUAUCUCUCUGCCCUCUGACUCAAGUCCUUCCUGCUAUAAUGAAAUCCCCCAUGCUCCCUGAGCUUGGCAUCUACUUAGUCAAAGAAUGUGGAGACUUAGUUCUCAGGAGGGCCGCUACUGAGUGGGUAUGCCACUGGUCAAGAGGGUAACAGGAGACAGAAGAGCCAGGAGGAGACUUUGGCCUAAAUGGAUCAGCAACACCACAGAGCAUCCACUCCCCCAGAGCAUCACCCGGAAGGACUAUCCGUUCGGAGACAUCCUGGGAGAACAAGAGGUUUCUUGUCUGACUCUAAAAUUUAUUUUAUCAGUGUAUCUAGGGUUGGGCUGAGUUUAAACAGAAAACCUUUAAGCACUAUAUGCCUGCUAGACAUAUUAAUGCAAUAAAAGAACCCUGUGUCUUGCUAAACUAAAUUCUCAAAAGUUAACAUUAAAAAAUGAUUCACAGCCAGGUGUGGUGGCUUACGCCUGUAACCCCAGCACUUUGGGAGGCCGAGGUGGGCGGAUCACUUGAUCCCAGGAGUUUCAGACCAGCCUGGACAACAUGACAAAACCCUGUCUCUACUAAAACUACAAAAAUUAGCUGGACAUGGUGGCGCAUGCCUGUGGUCCCAGCUACUUGGAAGGCUGGGGUGGGAGGAUCACUUGAGCCCGGGAGGUCAAGGCUGCAGUGAGCUGUGAUUGCGCCAUUGCACUCCAGCCUGGGCAACAGAACAAGACUCUAUCUCAACAAAACAAAACAACAGAACAAAACAAAAAAAACAAAACACACACACACACACAGAGAAAGCGAUUCACCUAUUUUUUCAAUAUAGACCACUUUUUAAACUUUUUACUUUGAAAAAAAUUAUAAAUUCACAGGAAGUUGUGGAAAAGCACCCUGUGCCAUUUACUCAGUUUCUGUGAUGAUUACAUUUUACAUAACUACACUGCAAUGUCAAAACCAGGAAACUAACAUUGAUACAGUGUGUGUAUGGUUUUAUGCCAUUUUUUUCUCUUAAAAUUCUUUUUUCUUUUUAAUUAUCAUGGAUAUACAAAGAAAGGACAUGCCAUUUCAUCACAUGUAAAUUGUGGACGUUUUAACUUAGAGCAGGGGUCCACAGACUGUCGCCUGAGUGCCAUAUCCAGCUGGCCUCUGGCUUUUGCGAAUAAAGAUAAAGUCUCGGAACACAGCCACGCUCAUUCAUUUGCAUAUUGUUCGUGGCUGCUUUUCACUCCGGUGGUGGAGCUGAGUAGUUGUGAUGCUUGCAAAGCCUCAAAUAUUUCCCUUUUGACCCUUUAUAGGAAAAGCUUGCUGAUCCAUGAUUUAGAGAAUCAUUGGAAUUUUUUUAAUCUAAAAAAAUCCUUGGGGUCCCUAUAGUCUAGCCCUUUUAUUUGAUAGAGGAGGAAGCUAAGCUCAGGGCAGACAGAGGACAUGUCCCAGGUCACACACCAGUCAGCACCAAGUAAAUCUAUAUCCUUGGGGUCCCUAUAGUCUAGCCCUUUUAUUUGAUAGAGGAGGAAGCUAAGCUCAGGGCAGACAGAGGACAUGUCCCAGGUCACACACCAGUCAGCACCAAGUAAAUCUAUGGCCAGGGUCUCCUGACCUCCCUGCUGUUCUGGUCUCAGCAGGGCACUCAACUGGUCACUGGACCAUUAAGCUGGAUUUUAUAUUUUGAGCAUGUUUGGGAGUUGGGUAGUUGGGUAAAGUAGUUUCAUGUCCUCAACACAAACAUUUCUUCUAAAUUUCUUUUGUAGCUUGAAUUCCACUGGGCAAUCUGUUUGCUUAUUUUCUUAUUUGACUAAAAGAAAACAUGUGUCACAACAUUAAAAAUGGUGAAAUGAGGCCAUAGACCAGGGCUGCAACCUCAGUGUCCUCGGGCAGCCGAUGUAAAUGAGCGAAGCAGGAGAGGAACCUGCCUGGGGGGGCUGCAGGGCAGGGUGGGGACUGUGGCAAAGGGCAUGCCCGAGGUGACCCAGCUCCAGUUCAUUGUUCCUACAUGUGAAUGCAAGGCAAGAGUGGCCAGAUUGGAUUUUCAAGUGACCUUUUCUAAUAUUUAAAUGUUAGCAACUACUUAAAAAAUCCACAGACCCUGAGCAGUUCAACCUUGGCCCCAGGUUUCCCAUUUACCACAGUUUACUCUUGGUUUGGCCUCAGGGAUCUUACGAAUUUGAGCCAUCAGAAUCAAGGGGUUGACUGUGAGAGGACAGGGAUGGUGAAGAUCCCCAUCGCCACUCCAGUUCAAUCUCUGGUGGACGAAGGGUCAUCUUCAUAGGUGCGCCAUGGCCCAGCGUUUCUACAUGUGCUCACCUACCACUAGGUGAGCUCCCAAGGAAGCCGAUGGCUCAGGCUGUACUGACCUCUCCCAGGGAAACAGUUGCUUCCCUGAGACCUUCUUACUAAAUACACUUCCUACAUACAGGAGCUGUCAUACCCUCAGGUAUGUAGGCGUGACCAACACUUAGUGUUCUCAGUAGGGGAACACUUGGUAGUACCAAAGACAUUUUUGGUUGUCACAACUGGGGGCCUGCUGCCGGCAUCCAGGGUGGAUCCUGGGAAUGCUGCUAAACACCCUACAAUGUACAGCACAGCCCCCACCCCCAACAAAAGACAGUUUUUCUCUGGCCCCCAAACUCAGUGGUGCCCAAGUUGAGAGACCUUGAUCUAGAGCAAUGAACCCGACAUUUGUAGUUAUCCAAGAUGAGGUGCUCCAAAAAAUCACCGGCCAGUGUUCAGUGAACAUCGAACGUGGUUGGUGGGCUCUAGAUAUUCUGCCGAAUUCAGGAUUUCCUAACCUCCUGCUGCGGCUGAUGCGUUCAGAGCCCAUCAGGAAAGGUUGGUAGAGCGGAGAAACCUGGCCCAGAGGGAUUCCGCACUGAUACGGGCGCACAGGAGGCCGCACGGAGGAGGGAGUGGCGCCCCUAGCGGGGGCCUCAGGAUGUAGCUCCUGAACCCCUUUAGAAUUUUAAUUCUCUAAAUGAAAAUGCCUAUUAUUUUUGAAAGGAUUUGCUUAAACUUCUUAUCUGAAAACAGUUACAUUGCAGGGAUCAAUUUGUUGAAAGUGAAAGCAAAAACUCCAACACAAAGAGUAAACUGCCUCUUAUCUAUGUGUGAGCAGAAUGCUGGAGGGGGGAUUUGACUCUCCUGGCCUCAGUAGCGGCCCUUCUGAGAACUGUGUGCCCAGUUCUGCCUGUCUGCAGGAUUUCAUCACACUGUGUGCAAGAAACCAAAGUGGGAGGAGAAGAGACAUUUCGGUUCAGCCAAUUUUUCCAUUCUCACUAAGUUUGUAGUGUAAGAAAUAAUUGUAAAUUUUUCUUUGACUUAUAUACUGCCAGUGAGACAAGGAAGUCACUUGAGGAAAAUGUGAUGGAAAAAGGAAUUUCAUCCAUUUCCUCAAGAAAAUCACUGUGUGUGUGCGUACAUGCAGGUGCCUGCACUGAUUACAGAAAAGGUGUGAAAGGAAAAAAUCUUUCCAUUGGAGCUUCAAAUAAGCCAAAUAUUAACUGUUCACUUACUGGCUACUAACAACAGUUUUGGGGUUUUUCAAGGAUGGCUGUCUGUUUGGAGGAGUAACUUUAAUCAGUACAGCUGACCACGAUAUCAGCCAUUAAUUUCCAACAUUAGCUUAAAUCCUGUUUCUGAUUAUAAAUAUAAUGUACAUGUUCAUUAUAGCACACUUGGAACAUACAGAACAAUUAUAAAGCAGAGUAUCAAAACUACCUGGAAUCCUGACAUUGACAGAUAAACCACUGUUAACCAUUGGUAUAUUUUAGGGCAUGGCUUAGUAAACUAUGGCCUGUUGGCCAAAUCUGACCUGUUGCCUGUUUUUAUAAAGUGUUACUGGAACUCAGCUGUGUUCAUUACUUUUUGUAUGCUGUUUUCAAGAUACAAUGUCAGAGAGACCAUGUGGUUGCAAAGCUUAACAUAUGUACUAUCUGGCCUUUUAUAGAAAAACGUUUGCCAGUCUCUUCUUAGGGAAGUCUUUAUCAUGUGUGUGUGUGUGUGUGUGCAUGUGUGUGUGGGGGGGGCACAUAUGAUAGACCCAUUAAGUUGAUACGUUCGGUAAUCAUAGUGAGGAAUCUCUAGGAAGAACAAGUUUCAAGUUUUCUGGGGACAUAAUGAAUGGUUUUGGUUAUGCUGAGUGUGGGAGAGCUGGGUGUGUGUUCCCAGGGGAAGCAGGAGCAUGGUCUGAGCUGGGGCGGAGGUCCAGGGCUACAGCCUCACUUGGUAAUAGUGGAAGCUGUGGACACAGGGGGACAAAUGUUCAGGGAGAAAGAAAAAGAUCAAAGUUGGCUAUGGGGAAUAUGGUGUGGUGAGCUGUUCUUAUGCAGGAGAGGGAGGAUGAGAGAGGGAGAAGGCAAGGAGCCUCGCAUCCCUUGUGGAGGAUGGUGCCCAGCAGUGACAAAGGCUUCAAAGAGGAGGACUGAGCUAGUGGGUGUGAAAGGGCCCCUGGACUUGAAAAUCAUCAGGUAGUUAUAACUCCUGCGCUCACGCACAACAGAAACACAGAAACACUCACCAGAGUGGGGUGGGGAGGGAGUACAGGGGAGCCAGUGUGUUUUGGAAGGUAAUGGGUAUUUCAUGGGAUUAAAAGAUGGGCUGACAAUUUUGUACUCAUUUGUUAUGCAGCCCUAGGGAACUAACGAAGUCUCCAAAGUAGGCAUUUUUCAUUUUAGACUUUGUUAGUUAUUUGUGUAUUUCUGUGAUUGCAUUUCAACACUGGCAUUCUUCACCCGUGAGGACCAUCUUCAGGCAGGCCUUCCUUGUUGCUGGCCCAUCGUCAGUCCACUCACUCUUAUUCUCAGCAAUGGCUAUUUCCAGCCUUCUCCCUGGACCUCUGCAACCACAACCCCAUCUCCUCUCCCUGCUCUGAUAACUCUGCUGCAAAGAGAGGAGCAGCAAUCAAAAUAAAAUCCCCGCAGCUCCAGGGCCAAACGCACCAGCCGCCGGGUGUGGUGCCUCAUCCCUCCCCUCCCUUAGGGGAAGUGCUGGUCUCACCUGCAGCUGCUUCUCGCGUCCCCACAGCCUCAUUCAUCCCCUCCUCUGGAUCCUUCCCGGGAGCACACACACGUGCUGUCAUGUCUUUUAUUGCAAAACCAACAACCCUCCCUGGCCCCCGCACCCCUGUCUAGAUUGUGCCUAUGUUUCCUGCCGCUCUCGCAGCAGCGAGGUGUUCAUGCCUCACUGCCCCACUUCUCUCCUUCUCUCUGCAGCCCUGGCCACACUUUCCCCUCACCUCCUCCAGGUGGGUGCGGCAGCAGAAGGAAAGGCUGCUUGAAGUUGGUUCAAAAGAAAAGAGGAGGGGAGGAAUGAAUUUCUGGCGUUGAGACCUAGUAACUGUUUUCAAGGAAAUAGGAUGGUUGCUGGAGGGGAGAAGGAGUAUCAACAGAAGUCUAUUUGGAAUUUCUUUUUUGUGUGUGGGAAGAUGCAUGUAAAAUAAAAUUUUCCAUUUUAAUUAUUUUUUAGGUGUACAAAUUUAUUAGCAAUAAGGACCUUCACAAUAUUGUGUACCCAUCAUUAGUAUUUCCAAAACUUUUUAAUCAUCCCAAAUGGAAAUUCUGAACUCAUUAAAUAAUCCCUUUCAGCUGCCUCUCCCCAGUCCCUGGAAACCUCUAAUCUACUUUCAAUCUCUGAAUUCGCCUAUUCUAGAUAUCCCAGGGACAUGGAACUGCAGGAAACGUGCAUGGAUCAGGUGCACCCUGCUCCAUCUGCUUGUUCUUCUAUGAGCCACUCCCCAUCGGUCACAUUCCCGCCUGAGCUCCUCCUGUCAGAUCAGCAGCAGCAUUGGAUUCUCACAGGAGCUCGAACCCUAUUGUGAACUGUGCAUGCCAGAGAUCUAGGCUGUGGACUCCUUAUGAAAAUCUAAUGCCUGAUGAUCUGUCACUGCCUCCUAUCACCCCCAGAUGGGACCAUCUAGUUGCAGGAAAACAAGCUCAGGGUUCCCACUGAAUUCUACAUUAUGGAAGGUGGUCAGUGAAGAGAAGAGGAAGAGAGUAGAAGCUUCUUUUAGGAUGGAGGAGAAGAAGACAGUUGGAGUGGGACAAGUCCCAUUUGAUGGUGUGUGGUCGCUACAGCAGGUACAGUGAAGUGGCUCCUGUUUUGGAAAUGAGGGAAGCUCUGAUUCCCAUGAGAGAGUAGAAAAAGGUCAGGAUGGAUGCUAAUGGGAUGCACUAGGUGGAGGGCGGCUGGGAAGCUACCUCUGUGCUUGCACAGUCUCCUCAGAUGGGAAUUAUUUCUCUACUUCUGUCAUAUUUGUCUUGGUGUAACUGAACCCGCAUCUUAAAAUUCCCUGAUUACCUCAGUUGGAAGUGAGUUCUCCUACAUUUGCGCUCCUGAAACACGUGAGAAUAUUAGUUGUUCUGAAUGAGCUGUUACUGUACUCACGGGUGGUACAGUUUAGAGAGGGUGACGUGUUUGUUAUGAGUAUGGGCUCUGGACCUAGCCUCCCUAGGCCCAAAUCUCCGUUAUCUGCUUUCACUCACUGGACCUAGGGCAAGUUAACUUUUUUCAUCUGCAAAAUGGACUAGAUCUUGAAAGCAAUGUCAGUGCAUUUUGUGAGGAUAAAACAAGUCACUGCAUUUAUUUGAUUAAUAUGUACAAAGCACUUUGAGUACACUGAGUACUCACUAAUGCUAGCUGCUACAUUUCCUACUAGUGUAAUUGAACGAAUACACACACUUAGAGUAUAUUACACUUUAAAUAAACGUUAUUGUAUGUACUUGAUUGUCACUAUUUGGUGAUAGAGACCCUGUCUUCCUUGCAGUGAAGGGCACCAUAGUGGCUAAACUUAGAGUUACUUUAGAAAAACCAGGUGUUAGGGUGCCCCCAAGAGCAUCGCCAGUGUGACGGAACAGUAUCAAAGAGGACUUCACAGAUGACAGUUAAGGUUUCAGGUCCACGUAGGUCUUAACUAUAAAUUGUGACAGCGUAAGGGCUGAAGGUCUGAGAGUGUGUGUGCUCACUAAGAGGCUAGGGGUUUCAAGUUUCCUGAAAUAACUGCAAGAACUGUGCAACACAGAGAGAACCUACAGGGAAAGAAAGGAAGGGGCCGGGAGCUUGGACUCACAGUAAGGACCUGGGAUGGGGAUUGAAAACCAAAAGCAACUGUGAUGACACUCUGCUCCAGCUGGUGGGCAAAGCUGGGAAGAGCCGGAACCCUGGCUUCCUGUUCCACCUCCAUAGGACCCAUCCCUGCUGCUCCAUGCCCUCUCUGAAGAUCCACCAGUGCAAAUGGUCAUCUCAGCCUCCUAAGAGUCAGCCCUCUUGUGAAUCCUCCUGCAGAUACAAACAAGGCUGGGAUGUUGCUUGCCCUGCAGUUGGGGGUUGUCUCAGGCAGAGGCCCUAAGGGAUGGUGGUGACACCAGGCCAGACGGGAGAGCCUGGCUGUUUGCCUGAGAGUUCCAGCUUUGCCCCUAAUAGCCAUGAGACAGCUGUUCUCAUGCCAAGAAAAUGAAUUUAUAUAGUGAAGUAAAUCAAAUUGUAAAGAACAAUGUGAUUAGAGAAAAAAAAUCGUUUGUUAUCUUGCAGUCCCCGGACAUGAUAUAUUCGCGGCCCAGGACCUUUUAAACAAAGAAAUAAUAAGAAACCAUUUAGAAAAACAAAUAAACUGGCAAAUGUUUGUGAAAUAUUUAUAAGAUGCAGAGCCAUUUUAUAUGCAAGAAUUUAUUAGCUAAUUUUUUUUAUCUUGUGAAGGACUAUUUUUGGAGACAAUGAAAUUGUUCUGGAAAAAUACUUAAAUUGGUAAGGAUUAAAAACAGACAAGAAAGCCAAGACUUUAAUUACUAUUAUGAUUUAGUUAUAUUUUUUGGGAAAAAAUUAUGCAAAGCUAUUUGUACUUUUAAUCUUUUGUCAACAUUUUCCCUAUAUUCAUAACUUAUCCAACUUAUCAAACAGAAAAAAGUCAGAUGUAUGAGGGGAAGAGAUCUGGCUCAGCUGAAAUUACUUGGUCUCUAACUCUGUGAUGAUGUGAGACCUUAGGAAUCUCAGACUCGCUGUAUUAGUGAGUAAGUAAAAAUCCUGGGUUUUAGAACAUUUAAAGGAAAUGGUGUUUAUUCUCCCUUAUUUGUCUCACUUGGCAGUGGAAUUAUUGCAAUUUCAGGGCAAUGUACUUGAACAGUGAUGUUGGCAAAAGGGAGUAAGAGUAGAUAGGAUAGUGAAUGAUUAGAAACCAUUUUGCAGAGGGAGCAGUUGAAGGAAUGGGGUUCUUUACACAGAGAGCAGAAUACUGGGUGGGAAGCCAUAGGCCAGCCCUCCAAUGUAUGAUGGUUUCAAUGUCCUCCUUCUUUCUCUGUCCUCUUCCCAGGAGGGGCUCUUGACCAGAUGGGUGAGAGAGUGCAGAGCUUUGUGCAUAGCAGUGCAGACAAGUCGUGCAAUAGGGUGUGGUCAAAACGACCAAGAAACAGGAUUGCGUGUCAUGUGGGUGCUUCAUCUUGAGGAAUCUGGGAAUCCUAAAACAUCCUUCAAUUUUCCAGAGGACUUGAGAUGUCUGUCCUUUCUGAGAUGGACAGGUUCCCCUGAGAGCUGUCUCACUGUGGUCUACAAAGGGGGCACAGCAAGAUGGACUUGGGAGUUUCUGUAGCUCUGCCGGCCAAACUCCAGCCAGGGGGAAGUCCAUGGAAACUUGCUGGCAGUCCCAGCCUCUUAGAGUGAUCCCCUGGGAGCCUCCCAGACUUUGUAAAGGACGAGUUUGAGGAGAAGAAAGACAUGUCGCUCCAGAUUAGGCCACCAGUUUCUCUGCUAGUUCACUGCAACACUUUGUACAUUUCCAGGUCAUCUCUUACAUAUGCUGGAGAUGUGUGGUGGAGCUUGAUGCUAAUUAGCAGGCUAGAUCUGUGAUGUUUUUAUUAAGUUGGGUCACAAAGUGUUCAAUGCCUCUCUCUCUAGAAUGAUGAUGCACUCAUCAACCUGUCCUAAGUUCUGCGGCUUUAGCCAAGAUUCUUAAAGAAUAGGAAAAGUCCCACUUCACACCCUGUUCCAUCAGGCUUUAACUGGUCACUGUACUGCUCGGUACAACACUCUGUUCAUUUGUGUGAGUAAAUAGAAGUAAGAGUCAUUGAACUCAAGGAGGUAUAGCACUCUAUUGAGGCUUGAGUCUUAGCAGGUGGUACCUUGGUGGAGAAGUGAUUUCAUUCUUAGAACUUUUAAAGGAAGUUUCUGGGAGAGUCACCUCUUGGGUGGAGGUUGGGUUUGAUCUCAAGGACUUUGUGUUUGAGUUUAUAGGACUCUGCCUAAGCAAACAUAGAGCUGUCUAGCCUAAGUGGUGUUCUUUGAUGCACACUGGGACUUUCUUGAUCAGUUAUUAAAUGUAAUUCAUUGUUAUAAAUGUGCCCUUGACAAAAAUGGAUGUUCUUUAAUUUUUUAAUAUAGAACUCUGUAUCCAUCCAUUAGGGAAGGCUUGUCAAUUGUAUUGUUCAACUAUUCUUGCUGAAUUUUUUGUCUGAUUGAUGUAUCAAUAAUUGUCACAGUAAUCCAAUAUGAUGGUGAAUUUAUCAAACUUCUUUCUGCAGUUUUAACACUUUUUGCUACAUCUUGUGAGUGUUUUCUUAGGUCCAUACAUUUGACAAAAUUUCUUUUUGUCAUUUCAAUAAACUGAAUCUUUUCAAAUUAAUGUAAUGAUAAUCUCUAUCCCUAACUCUUCAUUUUGUCUUAGUAUCUCUUUUGUCUAGUAUUGAUGCAGCUGUAUUAGCUUUCUUUCUGUUGGUAGCCAUUUAUGUCUUUUAUUUCUUAAAACAUUGAACCAUAUAAAAUUGGCAAUAUCCAUCCUUUUUUGUCCCACAAAAAUGGCAAUUUCGUAUGGCUGAACCAAUGCUGUCAAACUGCUUUUGCAUGCCCCUAUGCUUUAAGUGGGUCUCUUGUAUACAAUAUGUAAACCCUUCUUUUGAUCUUUGUCUUUUAACUAUGACUUUAGCCCAUUUACAUUUACUGUAACUACUGGUAUAAUGGGAUCCAUUCUACGAUACUAAUUUAUUAUUUUUGUUUGCUUACCUUUCUACAUUUUAAAAAAUUGCUAUUUUUUUAUUUCUUCGAUAAUAAGAUAGAACUUUUGUGUGCCCUCAUAUUCACUGGUGUCAUCUUCCCUACAAAUAUUGCCAUCCUAUUAAUAUUUUCUAUCUUAGGGAUGGUGGCUAAUGGAACUUUCUGUGAUGAUGGAAAUGUUCUAUAGCUAUGCUGGUCAAUAUAGUAGCCACGAAGGGCUAUUAAACCCUUGAAAUGUGGCUAAUGUGACAAAGGAACACAUUUUAGAAUUUUAUUUAAUUUUAAUUAACUCAAAUUUAAAUUUAAAUAGCCACAUGAGGCUAGUAACUACCAUAUCGGAUAGUGAAGAUCUAUCUUAUUAAUUCUGUAUAUUUUGGGCAUAUUUAUCUCUUCCUUGUCCUAACGACUAAAUAAAGAUAACAAACUUUGCCAAUA
This is a long non-coding RNA of Pan troglodytes (chimpanzee), 14366 nucleotides long. RefSeq lists it as uncharacterized. NCBI's taxonomy places the organism in Eukaryota, Metazoa, Chordata, Mammalia, Primates, Hominidae. The record is from RefSeq and is a predicted model, not a curated record. The transcript has 3 exons.